AGUGAACGCUGGCGGUAGGCCUAACACAUGCAAGUCGAACGGCAGCACAGUAAGAGCUUGCUCUUACGGGUGGCGAGUGGCGGACGGGUGAGGGAUACAUCGGAAUCUACUUUUUCGUGGGGGAUAACGUAGGGAAACUUACGCUAAUACCGCAUACGACCUACGGGUGAAAGCAGGGGAUCUUCGGACCUUGCGCGAUUGAAUGAGCCGAUGUCGGAUUAGCUAGUUGGCGGGGUAAAGGCCCACCAAGGCGACGAUCCGUAGCUGGUCCGAGAGGAUGAUCAGCCAAACUGGAACGGAGACACGGUCCAGACUCCUACGGGAGGCAGCAGUGGGGAAUAUUGGACAAUGGGCGCAAGCCUGAUCCAGCCAUACCGCGUGGGUGAAGAAGGCCUUCGGGUUGUAAAGCCCUUUUGUUGGGAAAGAAAAUCAGCAGGUUAAUACCCCGCUGUUCUGACGGUACCCAAAGAAUAAGCACCGGCUAACUUCGUG
RNAcentral lists this ribosomal RNA (492 nucleotides) under uncultured bacterium. Its description in RNAcentral is "partial 16S ribosomal RNA". It matches the Rfam family "Bacterial small subunit ribosomal RNA", at positions 29 to 507 of the family's 1533-position model. The record is from RNAcentral.